Non-coding RNA from Schizosaccharomyces pombe (fission yeast), 305 nucleotides. NCBI's taxonomy places the organism in Eukaryota, Fungi, Ascomycota, Schizosaccharomycetes, Schizosaccharomycetales, Schizosaccharomycetaceae. The record is from the annotation of a GenBank genome assembly.
UGAAAGAAUAACAUUGUAAAUCAAGUCGUCGGCAAUCAAUUACGAUAUAUCAACAAUUGAAAAAAUCUGCCAAAGUUUCAUCACAAUCAAUUAAUUUCACAAGUCUUAUUAAAAAAGUUUUCAAGCUUGUGUAAAAAAAAAUUUUACUUAAGGUAAUGAUUAGUUAGUUAGUUGCUCUCGUAAAUGUCUAUCUCUUUGUUAGGAUCUCAAACGACAAUUCCGCAACUGUCUGAAAUAUAAUAUAAAUAGUUAAAUAGAGGAAUAACCAAACAACAUCAUAGAAAUGCCAAUAAGUAUAAUAUUAC